CUUGGUUAUAAAAGUGAGUUACCUAAACAAAAUGGAAUCGCCAGAGGAAACAAGACAUAGAAAAGCGAUGUUUCGGCGCGUGUACAUCUUGCUCAUAGUGAACAUGUUGGGGAUCGCUGCUGUAUCAGUGAUGUUCACUGCCCUGGUUCUGUAUAUUCAAAGUAUUUCGACCAAACAGCCACUGUGGCUUGAUUCAAACUUGGAUUAUUUAAAAUUAAGACCGAUUGAUGCGCUCAGCAAAGACCAAAAUUAUAGUUUAUUUAAUUAUUAGUGUGUUCUCUCAGUAUUCCCGAGUAAGGUCGGCGGCAGGUGUGAUGUUCGCACGAGCGGACACUCCUGAGUCGGAUGAUACCGCUCCGCCGAGCGAGUUAUGAACAAUUUCUGGAAACAUUUCAAACAGAGCUAGUCUGUUAUAUUUAAAUAAAAUUUAAUAUUUCAAUUGCUAUGUAAGUAAAAGAAAGAUUAAAUAAAUUAUUAAGUGAAGGAAAUCCCUACCCCAAAAAGAA
Long non-coding RNA from Plutella xylostella (diamondback moth), 506 nucleotides. RefSeq lists it as uncharacterized. The record is from RefSeq and is a predicted model, not a curated record. NCBI's taxonomy places the organism in Eukaryota, Metazoa, Arthropoda, Insecta, Lepidoptera, Plutellidae.